GCGGGCAUAGCUCAGGGGUAGAGCACAACCUUGCCAAGGUUGGGGUCGAGGGUUCGAAUCCCUUUGCCCGCUCCA
This 75-nucleotide transfer RNA is filed under the name Zymomonas mobilis. RNAcentral's name for it is "tRNA-Gly". It matches the Rfam family "tRNA". From Rfam's summary of the family: Transfer RNA (tRNA) molecules are approximately 80 nucleotides in length. Their secondary structure includes four short double-helical elements and three loops (D, anti-codon, and T loops). RNAcentral also lists the same sequence under 11 other names. Lineage: Bacteria; Pseudomonadati; Pseudomonadota; Alphaproteobacteria; Sphingomonadales; Zymomonadaceae. The record is from RNAcentral.